Molecule: non-coding RNA, 76 nt
Organism: Roseobacter sp. GAI101
Lineage: Bacteria; Pseudomonadati; Pseudomonadota; Alphaproteobacteria; Rhodobacterales; Roseobacteraceae
Source: Rfam
GGGGACCUUCGGGGCCCUAUAACCAUCUCGGCCUCAACAUGUUGAAGUCGGGCACAAGCAAAACGGAAGACAGAAA